UUCUCUGUGUAAGCGAAA
Molecule: small nuclear RNA, 18 nt
Filed under: Arabidopsis thaliana (thale cress)
Lineage: Eukaryota; Viridiplantae; Streptophyta; Magnoliopsida; Brassicales; Brassicaceae
Description: snRNA_12033
Source: RNAcentral